Molecule: small RNA, 4906 nt
Filed under: Rattus norvegicus (Norway rat)
Lineage: Eukaryota; Metazoa; Chordata; Mammalia; Rodentia; Muridae
Description: uncharacterized LOC102553924
Source: RNAcentral
UAUACGUAUGUACAUGUAUAUAAUAUAUAAUGCAUAUAUAGUAUAUAUGAUGUGUGUGUGUGUGGCCACAGGGUCCUUGGGAGAGGAAUAAGCAAUGGACUACAAUAAGAAGCUUGGACUUGGGAGUUGACAGAAUCCACAGAGGAGUAUGAUAUGAUGUAGACCUCGAGGUAUGCACACUUAUGAACUAUUACGUGCGUGAUGGCAUUGGGUUGGACUCCAGAGAGAGGCUCACACACCAGAGUCCAUACUUACUAAUUCCGUUGGAUCUUUGUACACCUUAGUUGCUUCAUCUUCAUAAGAGCUGGGGGGGGGGUGUCAGUGGGUAGAGUGCUUACUGGGCAAGCAUGAGAACAGGGGUUUGGAUCCCCAGAGCCCACACAAGGCUAGAUAUGAUAGCAUUCAUCUGUAACACCAGAAAGCCUACAGCAAGACAGGAGGCAGAGAUGGGAGCUGAAAGCUCUCAGGACAGUUUGCCUGAAACAUAUGCAACAUUGCCGUAACAGGAGACCCCACCUCAAAGGUGGAAGGUGAGGGCCAACACAUGAGGCUGGCCUCUGACUUCCGUGUGUGCUAAGGCACGUACGCAUGUGCACGCGUAUACACAGAGGAAAGGAGAGUGAUGCUUGACUUUUGACCUGGUUAAAAUGGAAAGCAUGUGUCAGCACGCUCUACCUUACUGCUGAUCGAGACUAAGGUCUCUUUCAUAAGACUUGGGCUGGCACACAGCCUUUGGAUCUGAAGGAAGAGAUUAAAAAACAGAUCCACCUUGUGGAAAAUACCAGGCCCUAGGAGACUAGACAUAAAGCUUCUUUAAGGCUCGGUUUGACUCCAGGAAUUUGGGUUCUUCCAGGCUACCAAAUAGACAGAGUAGUCUGAGGGUCUGGGCUGCUGGCCACCCUGGUUACUAAGCCAGGCUGUCACUAAACAAGGCCUUGCAUCACUGGGACUAUCUGUCACCUAGAAUCUCACAGCAGCUACCUAGCUAGUUAGUCCCAUCUCUGCUUCCUCCUACCCCAAAUCUCUUCACAACAGGUUACCACAAUCCCUGAAGUUCUGCAAUGAGUCUCCAAUUCCCUCAGAGUGAAAGCUAAGGUCUUUUGACAUCCUUCAGGGCUCAGGAGCUGUUUCCUGUCUGACUCCAUCUCCUGCUGCUCUCCUCUCUGAGCCUCUUGGGCUCUGCUGCCUCCUCCCUCAGGCUCUGACUACACCCUCUGAUUGGAGAGUCUUGCUUGAGGAUAUCCACAUGCAACUCACUCACUCCCACAAAUCUUUGCUCAAGUGUCAACUCCUCAAGGAAACUCCUGACAACCCUUUCUAAAAUAGUAACUGCACACCGCCUACCCCCAGCAUGCUGCAACCCAGUUACCCUGCGAUUAUCUCUUUGAGGAGCAUUCGUCGCCCAACUCACCUCGUCGUUUACUGACUUUUCUCCGUGGAUCUUUCUCUGUCUCCCUUCACUAGAGGAUAAGCCACAUGAAGGCAGUGACUUCGGCAAGUCUUACAUAUCCUGAGGGCCUAGAACACUUAGUGGCUGCCCAGAAAUACCGGCUGGUUUUUGACUUGGCUCAUUUGGGAUGCUGGAGGCAAAGAAGCAAGCCUACUGUCCAUUGAUGAUGAGCUGACAGUUGGUAACCAACUUCCAAGGAGGAUCUGAGCUCAUUCUAGGGCAGAAGCAAUUUAUUCCCUCCCACCCUCCCCCUCCUUGUCAAGCUGAAAGUUGAGUCCUAACCUUGCACGAAGCUCUGCAGCUUUCCUCGUGCAUUAGCUGUUUCCCUUGCUGUGAGAACAGACUCCAUGUGUAGACGGGGCUCGCCUCAAACUCAGAGAUCCAUCUGCUUCUGUCUCCCACCUCCUAGGACUACCUAACUCCAACCGAUAACCACUCACAAAGGAAGAUGUGUGUUUGUUUUCUAGUGAGAAAGAGUGUGGAGCCAAGUAGAAGAGAUGCAGGCUGUGUGUUCUCACCAGAGAAACGAAUCUUCAACCUUGGGCACCCCAAAACCAUGAGCCGUGGCAAAUCUUUCCCCCUCUUGAUGUGGCAUCUCAGGCUAUUACCUCACAGUCACAGAGAACUGACUAGCACACUUGGUGUGGGUCUGUUGGAGAGCAAAGGCAGAAUAACGAAAGAACCCAACGUGCGCCUUCUGAUGCUUUCAAGGUGUCUCCAUCUGUUUUCUGCUGCUAUAGUAAAAUGCUUGAUACUAGGCAAUUUGCAAAGGAAAGAGGCUUAUUUAGGUUAAUGGAGAGUGGGAUGCUGGAGAAUCUGGUGACAACAUCUGUCAAGUUUCUCCAGAGGGUCUUGUUCUGCUUCAACCCAUGGCAAAAAGUGGAAGAGCGAGUGGCUGCAGGCUCGAGAGGCAGGACACAGGUGUGGCCUGGCUUCAUGUCAGCCUGCUCUUGUGAUAGCUGAUCUUGUUGUCUGCAUUAAUCCCUCUUGUGGAACUAGUCACCUCUUAGAGGCUUCAUUACCCCACCACCCAGCACAUUAGACGAGGAAUCGAAUUCCAGCGUGCACUUCAGAGGAGACAACCCAUAUUCAAACCCCAGCAGGAGGAGCUAAAGCAGGAGGCUUUGGUGUCACGCCCACACCACAGAAACAACAUUAUCCAGGCUGGCGGCACAACUAGCCAUAUCAUCCCUAUGCGUAAAAUAAAGAUAUGGGGUCAGGUGAUGUCUGAGAUGCUUUCUAGUCCUCACAUGUUUUUGUAAGCCAAGGGUGGGCUUGAUGUGGAGCGUCUGACUGGGGUCAGCUAGAGGAAGAAACCAUGUGAGCUCCCAGUGAGAGAGGACGUCGGUUUGGGAAGAUGAGACAUGGUCAGUCGUGUGAGCAUAACUGGAUGAGGGUGUGGCACCUGCUGAAACAACAGACGCGUCAUCCCCGACAGACCCUGCAGCCUAGGUGGAGUUUCUGGGCUUGUAAAACACUAACCCAAACAUGGCAAGACGUUAAUCUGUAGGGGACAGAUUAGUGUGUAUGUGGCUCAGCUGACCACAGGGCAGGGACUAGGGAUGGCAAUGGCCAGAAAUGGGGCAGGGAACCGGGCUGUGAACUCGUCCGGUUCUUAGCUCCACUUUUCCUUUUGUGGCAUGUGCAUGUGCCUGUCUGUGUGGAGUCCUUCUUCUUCAGGAGCAGAUGAGUAAACUGGACUUACCUGUCUUGGGCUUCCCUUCCCUUCCCUUCCCUUCCCUUUCCUUGUGUGUAAAAACACAUAUCUGUGUGAAGUCCUUUUCCGGGAGUAGUCCAGUCUACCUUGUGUUUUGAGACAGACUCUCUCACUGGGACUCGGACCUGCUGGUUAAGCCAGUCUGGCUGGCUAAUGAAUCCCAAGGAUCCUUCCCACCCUGCCUCCUCAGUGCUGGGACUAAAAGCAGCAGCACCACGAUCCCCAUCCCUUUUCGAUGUGGGUGCUGGAGACUGGACUUAGGUUCUCAUGCUUCUUGCCCAGCAGCGACUUUACCCACUGAGCUCUCUCCUGGUCCCUCCCUCUCACCUCUCACCUCUCACCACGCUGUUGAGACUCUCAAUCCAGGCUGGCCUCAUCCUCACUGUGGUGAUGAGAAUGGCCUUGAACUUCUGACUUUCCUGUCUACAUCUCAAAACCUGGUUUACAUUUUACUGGAGAGAAAGCCUGGGGCUUCUUGGAUGCUAGGUAACAAUAUCCAACUGAAGUCCAUCCUGAGACCUCUACUGACUAUUUCUUUAUGCUGAGCUAUUUGGGCUGAGCGCGCUGGGGCUCUUUAAUGCUGGGGAGGGGAAUGUCAAUCAAGAUGACACACACAUGGGGAGGUGGGGUUGACUGAUUGGUGUGCAUAUGAGAAGUGGUAUAAUUUUAUCUUCUAACCCAGCCUGGCAGGGCCUGGGAGUUACUUAGUUUUUAAAGAAGGAAGACAAAAACCAGCAUAUACGAGUCUGUGGUUGUGCUCACAUGGGUCGCAGCUUGUGAGGAGGCAGCUGAAAUCCCAAAUCAAUAAGGUAAUUGAGUCAUUUCCCUCAAGAGUCUCAGGCUAUUACUUUAAGUGGACACAGGGCAGUCGGCUGUGUUUGUUGAGCUGUAAUCAGCUUUGGACUCAUUGGACACAUUGAUCUCUUCUAACACCAUUCGGUGUUUGCACUGAACUGGGAGAGGUUGUCUCUGUCUCCUCCGUCCGUUCCUCCCUCAGUCCUUUCCUCCCCAUUCCCCGGGCUUCCAAAGAACCAAAGCAAAUGCGUAUUUUCCUCUGCCAGCUAGGCCGGAGGCUUUCUGCUCCCCAUCACUUGUUCUAACAGCAAAAAUCAAUUUUCCAAGACUCUACACUUCUACACACACACACACACACACACACACACACACACACACACACACAUCCUCCUCUCAACAAAUGUGCUUUUUAAUUUAGGAAAAGCGUCAAAACAACAGGUCCACUAUAGUUCUACAGUGUGUCCUAGGGCAGAAAAGCAGUUCCCAACCCGGCAAGGGACAUUGUCCUCAUUGAAGCUGCUCCCAACUCUGGUCAGCUCACAAUCCCAACCUUUGUGAUGACCAAAGAAUCAUGGCCUGUCCCCUUCCCCUCAGACUCCACCCUGCUGGCCCCCAAAGGUCACUGUCAGUGAUGUCACGGAAAAGUAUGUGUUAGAGCCUGUCCUCAGAGGCAGCCCUGGAAACUGCUGGUGGAUUCCAGAAAGUUGGCAGCGUUGCACUCCUUUUACUGAGCCCUGGCCCUGAGAAACGUCUCCAUCUUGAAUGCAGGACACAGGGGAAGGACUCCACUGUGGCUGGUGUGACCUGGAUGGGUGACCCCUCGGACAGUGUGGAUGCUCUGACUUCUACUGUGGUUUCCAUAUUCUUUCCCCUGGCAGUCCAUGGAGUACGGGGGGUGGGAGGGGACUUAGUCCUUCCCCCUAGUCCCUAGCCUCUCCUUGUAG